Molecule: ribosomal RNA, 203 nt
Filed under: uncultured bacterium
Lineage: Bacteria
Description: partial 16S ribosomal RNA
Rfam family: Bacterial small subunit ribosomal RNA
Source: RNAcentral
CAGUUCGGACUGGAGUCUGCAACCCGACUCCACGAAGCUGGAUUCGCUAGUAAUCGCGCAUCAGCCAUGGCGCGGUGAAUACGUUCCCGGGCCUUGUACACACCGCCCGUCGAGCCAUGGAAGCCGGGGUGCCUGAAGUGUGCAGCCGCAAGGAGCGCCCUAAGGUAAAACCGGUGACUGGGGCUAAGUCGUAACAAGGUACC